GAUGAACGCUGGCGGCGCGCCUAACACAUGCAAGUCGAACGGCCGGACCCACCCCGGUGGGCGAGGCAGUGGCGAACGGCUGAGUAACACGUGGGCAACCUGCCCCCCUCCCCGGGACAGCCUCGGGAAACCGUGGGUGAUACCGGAUGUGCGCCCCCUCCGCAUGGGAGGGGCGGGAAAGCUCCGGCGGGGGGGGAUGGGCCCGCGGCCUGUUAGCUUGUUGGCGGGGCAACGGCCCACCAAGGCGACUAUGGGUAGCUGGGUUGAGAGACCGACCAGCCAGAUUGGGACUGAGACACGGCCCAGACUCCUACGGGAGGCAGCAGUGGGGAAUCUUGCGCAAUGGGCGGAAGCCUGACGCAGCGACGCCGCGUGCGGGAGGAAGGCCCUCGGGUCGUAAACCGCUUUCAGCAG
This 414-nucleotide ribosomal RNA is filed under the name Olsenella sp. oral taxon C46. Its description in RNAcentral is "bacterial SSU rRNA". It matches the Rfam family "Bacterial small subunit ribosomal RNA", at positions 28 to 442 of the family's 1533-position model. Lineage: Bacteria; Bacillati; Actinomycetota; Coriobacteriia; Coriobacteriales; Atopobiaceae. The record is from RNAcentral.